ACAAAUUUUUCUACAUUUUUAAUAGUUAUAAUAAUAUUUCCAGGAGCUACUACAAUUAUUUUACAUAGGCAAAUUGAAGGGAACUUGAUUAAGGGAUAUUACACGUAAAAACGUACGGCGGCAAUUUGCGUUCCUACGAAACUAAUUUCCUUCACCUGCUCGCAGCGAUGUCACGGUCUUCGUGCAGAAUUAUCGGAGAUAUUUCUUUUGACUCGAUUGUUCGAGCGGUCCCUACGCGGCUGAACUCGAAUGAUCUAUAUACGCCUUUUCCAAGGAGCUUAAACGGCGAUCGAACAGGUGAAGGCACAGGAGCAGUAAAUUGUGCGCAUUCGUGUUGAGGGCUGCAACGAAGGAUAGCCUGAAGGGUUUCCGCGGGAUGACGCUCGGCGGAUCCGGACGACGUCGACGAGGACGACGACGAAGAAGAGGACGAGGUCACGAGAACGUCC
Molecule: long non-coding RNA, 449 nt
Organism: Temnothorax curvispinosus
Lineage: Eukaryota; Metazoa; Arthropoda; Insecta; Hymenoptera; Formicidae
Exons: 3
Source: RefSeq, a predicted model, not a curated record